AUUAGGUCUCACAUCCACAUAAAAACGAGAUAAGGUCUCACAUCCACAUAAAACUUAAGGAAAACAAAAGAAUUGCAGCAGUAUGUUAACAACUUGAGCAUCUUACAGCCAAAUACCAAACUAUCAUGUCAUGAGGCAAGAGAUUCAUAAUUAUCUUUUCAAUCAAUAAGGACCCACUUACUAAACUCAAUCAAACUUGCCUACUUCCUCUAACCCAGCAAUGCAAUUCACCAACACCACAUCAUUGGU
This 249-nucleotide unclassified non-coding RNA is filed under the name Hevea brasiliensis (rubber tree). The record is from RNAcentral. Lineage: Eukaryota; Viridiplantae; Streptophyta; Magnoliopsida; Malpighiales; Euphorbiaceae.